Manis pentadactyla (Chinese pangolin) is the source of this 2114-nucleotide non-coding RNA. NCBI's taxonomy places the organism in Eukaryota, Metazoa, Chordata, Mammalia, Pholidota, Manidae. The record is from the annotation of a RefSeq genome assembly.
CCCCUCCCCACAGUCUCCAGCCAGAGCCCGUCUGUCUUCCCCCUGGUCUCCUGCUGCAAAGACGUCAUCAUGAAUGCCAGCUCCUUGACACUGGGCUGCCUGGUCACGGACUACUUCCCAGAGCCAGUGACAGUGACCUGGGACUCAGGGUCCCUGAAGAGGAGCACAGUGACCUUCCCCAGUGCCCACAACCUGGCCUCGAGCCUCUACACCACCGUCAGCCAGAUGACCACCUCAGGAGAGUGGGCCAAGCAGAAGUUCACCUGCAGCGUGGCCCACGCCGCGUCCACCACCAACAAGACCAUCAGGGUGUGUGCUGCGGACUUCUCCCCGCCCACCGUGAAGCUCUUCCACUCAUCCUGCCAGCCCAACGGGGAUGACAGGACGGUCAUCCAGCUCCUCUGCCUCAUCUCCGGCUACCACCCGGACGAGAUGGAGGUCACCUGGCUGGUGGACGGGCACAAGGAAGCAGACAGCUCCCAGCACGUCGGCCCCAUCAGGCAGGAGGGCAAGGCAAACUCCACCCACAGCGAGUUCAACAUCACCCAGGCCGACUGGGUGUCCCAAAAAACCUACACCUGCCAGGUCUCCUAUCGAGGCCUGACCUUUCAGGACCAUGCCCGCAAAUGCACAGAAUCUGACCCUCGAGGCGUGAGCACCUACCUGAUCCCACCCAGCCCCCUCGACCUGUACGUCCUCAAGUCACCCAAGAUCACCUGCCUGGUGGUGGACCUGGCCAGCGUGGAUGACAUGACCCUGAAGUGGACCCGGGAGAGCAAGCUCCCCUUGCCACAGGACCAGCGGGUCUCCAAGCGUCACUUCAAUGGGACGUACACCUUCAUGUCCACCCUGCCGGUGGACGCCACAGACUGGAUCGAGGGCGAAACCUACUACUGCACAGUGAACCACCCCGACCUGCCCAUCGCCAUUGUGCGCUCCAUCUCCAAGGCCCCUGGCAAACGUGCAGCCCCUCAGGUCCACGUGUUCCCCCCUCCUGAGGAAGGGCAGGGGCCCACGGACAAGCUCACCCUCACCUGCCUGGCUCAGAACUUCUUCCCUGCUGACAUCUCAGUGGUCUGGCUGCGUGAUGACAUCGCGGUCCGCACAGACCAGUACACCACCACGUGGCCCCGCAGGACCAGUGGCUCCGGCCCCACCUUCUUUGUCUUCAGCCGCCUAGAGGUCAACCAGGCGGAAUGGACACAAAACAGCAAAUUCUCCUGCCAAGUGGUCCAUGAGGCACUGACCCGAACCAGGACCCUUGAGAAAACCGUGUCCAAAGCCCCCGAGCUGGACCUGCAGGAUCUGUGUGUGGCGGAGCCACAGGGCGAGGAGCUGGACGGGCUGUGGACCAGCCUCUCCGCCUUCAUCAUCCUCUUCCUGCUCAGCGUGAGCUACAGUGCCACCGUCACACUCCUCAAGGUGAAGUGGGUGUUCGCCACUGUCCUGCAGGAGAAGCCGUGCGCCUGCCAGGACCACAAGCGCGUCAGGCAGCGGGCAGCCUAGGUCCGAAGUCCCAGCAACACAGGCCUGGUUCUCUCCUUCCCUGCUCUGCCCUGAGAGGGAGGGGGAAGCGGGCAAACCCCCAAAGGGGCCACAGCCAGGAACCCAACAACCUGCACACAGGCAGCCAGAGGUUCCGGCUCAGCCCCAAGUCCCAAGGUGCCUGUGAGGCCUGCCGGUCACAGCCCCCACCCCCACCCCACUUUGGGACAAGCCCUAGAAAAGCGUGUCCCCUCCACAGAGUGACCUGAACUUGGCACGAGUGCCGGCCAGGGCCACUCCCACGGCCACCUAACCCCUGAGUGAUGAGGGCCUGCAGCCUGAGGCCCUGCCGGCUGCUCAGAGUCCGGGUGCGGGGCAGGCCUCAUUCCCCAGGCUUAGUGUCCCUCCCCACCGCCCCCACGCCCAGCACCACCUGCCCACCAUCACGCUGACCGCCCUCAGCCCCGCAGCAGAAGCCCUUCUGGGGAGAAGCCACAGGACUAGUUGGGGCUGCGGGCAGAGGCCAGGCUGGGGGUCCCACAGCAGAAGGAGCUCCUGCGAAGCCCACACAGUGCCAUCCGCUGUGCCUGCCCCCCCUGCUGCCCCUGGGUGCCGAUUCUGUUUCCUUC